CUUUGCAAGAUCUUUAUUCCUCACAUCUCACUAUUGUUGAGCUUAGCUAUAAGACCUCGUUUGUCCGAGGCUGCUUAUAAGACUCCGAUAGUUUGAGAGUGAUUCACGGGAUGUCCAUUUCCCGCUUCGCCAGAUGCUUAUUCCUAACUUCGUGAGAUGAUUAUCCCUCACCCUUCACUAUCACGAGUCACCAGCUAGAUAUUUGUUCACCACUUCAUGAGAAGCCUUGUUGUACGAAUUACUGCAUUAUAGCCCCGCUUAUGUUUAGAAAGGUCAUCAUGCCUCUACAUAACAACUAUCUACGUUCAGUUCAAAGUCUGCCUCUGCAUCGUCAUCAGUACAUUUAUUCUGUUCAGAGUCGACCUCAGCAUUCGUAUCAGUACAUCUAUUAUGUUCAAUUCAGAGUCAGCCUCUACUUCGUUAUCAGUACAGCUGUUCAGUUCAGGGUCAGCCUCUGCAUUCGUAUUAGUACAGCUGUUCAGUUCAGAAUUUUGCUUCUGCCUCAGCCAUGUUACAUUUACUUAUCUUCGGAGAGCUAAUAUUACCUCAACAUGGCUGCACCAUCCACCAUGUCUGGGAUGCGUCGUCACCUCGAAGGAGAGGCUCGCGUCCCAUCUCUGGGCCACCUCGCUUGAACUCCGAGGCGUUAGCACAUGCCUCCCUUUGUCCAGGCUGAACGCCAAGGGGAGAAGCCCCAACAUGGCUGCACCAUCCACCAUGUCUGAGAUGCGUCAUCACCUCAGAAAAGAGGCUCGCGUCCCAUCUCUGGGCCACCUCGCUUGAACUCCGAGGCGCUAGCACAUGCCUUCCUUUGGCCAGGCUGAGCGCCAAGGGGAGAAGCCCCAACAUGGCUGCACUAUCCACCAUGUCUGGGAUGCGUUGUCACCUCGGAGGAGAGGCUCGCGUCCCAUCUCUGGGCCACCUCGCUUGAACUCCGAGGCGCUAGCACAUGCCUUCCUUUGGCCAGGCUGAGCGCCAAGGGGAGAAGCCCCAACAUGGCUGCACCAUCCACCAUGUCUGGGAUGCGUCAUCACCUCGGAGGAGAGGCUCGCGUCCCAUUUCUGGGCCACCUCGCUUGAACUCCGAGGCGCUAGCACAUGCCUUCCUUUGGCCAGGCUGAACGCCAAGGGGAGAAGCCCCAACAUGGCUGCACCAUCCACCAUGUCUGAGAUGCGUCGUCACCUCGGAGGAGAGGCUCGCGUCCCAUCUCUGGGCCACCUCGCUUGAACUCCGAGGCGCUAGCACAUACCUCCCUUUGACCAGGCUGAGCGCCAAGGGGAGAAGCCCCAACAUGGCUGCACCAUCCACCAUGUUUGGGAUGCGUCGUCACCUCGGAGGAGAGGCUCGCGUCCCAUCUCUGGGCCACCUCGCUUGAACUCCGAGGCGCUAGCACAUGCCUCCCUUUGGCCAGGCUGAACGCCAAGGGGAGAAACCCCAACAUGGUUGCACCAUCCACCAUGUCUGGGAUGCGUCAUCACCUCGGAGGAGAGGCUUGCGUCCCAUCUCUGGGCCACCUCGCUUGAACUCCGAGAUGCUAGCACAUGCCUCCUUUUGGCGAGGCUGAACGCCAAUGGGAGAAGCCACUUCACGUGAAUUCCGAGGCUCAUACAAUUAUUAUGCUUAAGUUCGGCUGCAACAGCAUUCGUUGGAUCCCUUCAGGUUAUAGUUAUUAUGCUUAAGUAAAGUUCAAUUGCUUAACGAGGCUAAUACACUUCGGAGAAAAACAGCAUGUGAUGAAGAUAGAUUACAGUGAAAAGUGAACUACACUAAGCCCAGUCAAUGGUGGAGGUGCCUCGACAGCAGGUGCCUCAGCAGCUUGAGCCUUACGAUUUAGCCUUCACAAGCCUCGCAGGUUCGGUUUCUCAACCACCUUGGCUUCACCACAUUUCAGCCUUCACAAGCCUCGCAGGUUCGGUUUCCCAACCACCUCGACUUCGUCACAAUUCAGCAUUCACAAGCCUCGCAGGUUUGGUUUAGUCAACCACCUCGACUUCUUCAUCAUUCAUUCACAACAACGCAUUUCUAACUCCAACCAUGACAUAAAUGACUAUACUUGAACUUGGGGGACUAUUAUUUGGAAUUAAAAAAUUCUUUCAAUUUUUACCCAACCCACUGGCUUUACUUCAUUGAAGUCCACGCAUUGCAUAAAUGAAUAUUAGACUCAAACUUGGGGGACUAUAGCAAUACUAGUACCUCAGCAUCACUACAUAUCAUUGCCAUAGCUUAUGUACUAUAUUGUUGCUUCGAAGCACGAAUACCAUAUUAUUGCUACCAUGUCAUACAUUAUUUUCAUCACAGCCAGUACGUAUCUCGUAUUAUCAUCAUUUUCAUUUUAUUGUCUACAUCAUGUUACUUGCUUCACUAUAGCACUACUGAUACACUGAGCUAUGCGAGCAUAUGAUUUAUUAUAAUGCAUGACAGACACUCUGCACAUAUCUUGGAGAAACGCGAUAUGUUACACCUUAUGAGCAUUUAAAGGGGCAAAUGGACCCCAAAUUUAUUUGGUAUAUGUGCUGUGGAUAUAUUGUAUUGUAUUACAGGAUUGGUUUAGUUCAUUUUACAGAGGAGAUGCUGUCGAAAUUUUGAAAAAGUAUACGCAGCAUAUCUUUCGAGGCAAUUUGUAAGUCCUCACUUAUUUUGACACAUUUUCUGAGGCAGUUCGUAAGUCCUCAUUUAUUGGAGCGACUCAUAUUUCUCGAGGCAAUUCGUAAGUCCUCACCUAUUCGAGAUCGAUGCAUAUUUUCGAGGCAAUUCGUAAGCCCUUGCUUAUUGGAGCUACCCAUCUUUCUGAGGCAAUCUGUAAGGCCUCGCCUACUUGAGAGUUUAGAUUUCAAGUCCGACCCGCAUAUAAAUAACACGACUCGGACUUGGGGGACUACUGUUACGCCUAUGAAUUAUCACUCCAUAUUGGGCCACCUUAUUGGACCCGAGCCAGGCCCAUUAGUGUUGGGCCUCAAAUCCGAGGCUCUAAGAAGCUUAGCCGAGGCGCCACCGAGGCCAUAAAAAGCCCAGCCGAAGUGCCUAUCACUUUGCUCACCUCAUACUGGGCUCGAACUUAGGCCCAUUAACCCGCCUUAGCCCAUUUCACAUCAUUUCUCUAUAUAUAUGGAUUCAAUUCACAAGUUAAGGAAUGUUCUAAAUACUCUAGCCAAAUCCCCUAUCUCUCUACUAUUGCACUCUAUAUAUCUAUCUCCGUCCUGCCGUUGACUUGACAGUCGGAGUGCAAACGGUCACCAGACCUUUUUCUCGUCUGGCCGCCUUUGCCUCUUGACGGGUGUUACAUGCGCAGGUUUCGAGGGGACAAAGCUAGGGUGCCUGUUGGAGCCAUUUUUAGAGGUCAACAGUAAAUGUAGAAUCACAAAUUGCAGUUUGACAUUGUUUACUUACAUCUGCUUCUUCAAAGUAGUAGAGUCAUUCACACUCUUUAGAACUACCAAUCGUCUUCCCUGGUGAUAGGCCCUGAAAAAACACAACAAGAUGGGAGAAAUUUAGCAAAGCAAUUUAAAUGUUAGUCAAUUGACUAAUAGAUAAUAGAUUGCAAGAUAAAUUUGGAACAUGAACGGAUUGAAGACUUGUGAAUUUGGAGAUUUGAAUACUCUCUUUUCAUACAACAGGUUAAAGUGAGCCAUCUGUAAUUUUAACUUUAGUAUUACCGGUGCAGGUUGAGUAUGGGGAUAAGAGAUGAUAAGAGUUCGUCACGUGAUCGGGUGCCCCUGAGUCAAUAAUCUAGAGAGUUUUAUAUUUUGAGGUUGAAUUUAGAGCUCUUAAGAAUUAACUUUGUGGGCUCGAGAACUCGAUGGGCUAUUUAUGGUCAAGUAACUAGACGUUUGGAGACUAGAGAAAAUCUGGCAUAGUUGCUCCAUUUGUUUAGGAUUAAAUGCGCCCCUUGAAGAUUUUAUUUCCUUGGAUCACUCGGUCGGGUAACUGGAGACUUGGUAGCCACAGCUUCUAAAUUUUGGUUUUGGUUUCCAAUCCCUUGGUUUCCCAUGUAAUACCUAACAUGUGUCUUCUUCGUGUCCCGACUUUCGACAAUGCUCGCACCAAGAACGUUUGUUUUAGUGCUUUGGGCUUGACCCAUUAGAUGACCUUUUAGAUAUGAGUGCUGAAAUCAUAGCAGGCCCAUCAAUUUUUGAAGCUUUAAAUAGCCCAACUCUAGUUUUAGAAGAUGGUAUAUCUUGAGGCCCAACUCCAUUUUUAAAGCCCAUUACAGCAAUCCCAUACCCUUUAGACAACAGCGCCGACAUAUCCACUCCAGAGGUCCGAUCUCCGUCAACAUCGUCUUCCUCCUGCUCUCAUCUCUUCUCACUUCAUAAAACACUUCGCCUUCUGAGUCGUGGUUAAGACCGACUAAGAACUCAUGGACUCUUUCAUUUUCAAACCCUUUUUUAAAUCUCACGAUGUCGCCCGGGCACUCCCAUGCUUCUUCGAAAUUCAAAUUUGCUUCUUUGAAAUUCAAAUCAAGUUCCUGCAAGAGAGAGGACAUCUCCAUUUAGUACUCUGUCACUUCCCUAUCUCCUUGUUUUGCUAGCCACAAACGGGUCUUAAUUUCAAAUAUCUUAGAGCAGUUUUCUGAGUCUGAGUACAUCUCCUUCACGGCGUCCCAUAUGUCUUUUGCUGUAGGCAGAAAUAGAUAGGUUUUUUAUGAGCUAAGAUGUUACCAUUGAAUUUUCUGAACUCCACUUCUUCGAGAGGACAGGAUCUAUAGGUUUCUUCGUUUCACCAGUAAUGUAACCAAUCCUACCUUUUCCGUCGAUGAUUAGCUUUAUUGACUGAACCCACUUUCGAUAGUUCCUUCCGUUUAGUUUUUCAACUCUGAGAUGGAAGGAGGAGUUAUCGGGGCUGUGUGACUCCAUUAUUGAGGUGGCUUCGGUUUCACUGUUUGAUGGUUGAGUGCUCAUUGACCCUUUACUGUUAAUGGGGAUCCGCCAUUGAUUGCGAGGAAUUAGUGGCCAACAGCCGGUUGACCCGAUCAGUUUUUCAAAGAGGCCUUUGACCAAUUAAAAAAAAAAAAAAAAAANUGAGAUGGAAGGAGGAGUUAUCGGGGCUGUGUGACUCCAUUAUUGAGGUGGCUUCGGUUUCACUGUUUGACGUUUCAGUGCUCAUUGACCCUUUACUGUUAAUGGGGAUAUCCGCCAUUGAUUGCUAGGUUUAAAGUACCUAGCUCUUAUAUCCUGAAAUUAGAAUUAAUAUUUUGUAAUUUCUUGAUAAUAAUGUACAAACUAUAUGCUUCAAUUUAUUUUUUUAUUU
This 5247-nucleotide long non-coding RNA is filed under the name Olea europaea subsp. europaea. The record is from RNAcentral. Lineage: Eukaryota; Viridiplantae; Streptophyta; Magnoliopsida; Lamiales; Oleaceae.